AUGAUCUUCACCAUGGCCUGGUCCCCUCUCCUCCUCAGCCUCCUUGCUCACUGCACAGGGUCCUGGGCCCAGUCUGUGCUGACUCAGCCGGCCUCAGUGUCCGGGUCCCUGGGCCAGAGGGUCACCAUCUCCUGCACUGGAAGCAGCUCCAACAUCGGUGGUAAUUAUGUGGGCUGGUACCAACAGCUCCCAGGAAUAGGCCCCAGAACCGUCAUCUACUAUGAUAGUAGCCGACCCUCAGGGGUCCCCGAUCGAUUCUCUGGCUCCAAGUCAGGCAGCACAGCCACCCUGACCAUCUCUGGGCUUCAGGCUGAGGACGAGGCUGAGUAUUACUGCUCAUCAUGGGAUGAUAGUCUCAGAGGUCACACGGUGCUCCAGGCCUGUGGGGAAGUGAGACAAAAACCCACUUACCGGUCUGCAAAGUGA
This is a non-coding RNA of Nyctereutes procyonoides (raccoon dog), 426 nucleotides long. The record is from the annotation of a RefSeq genome assembly. NCBI's taxonomy places the organism in Eukaryota, Metazoa, Chordata, Mammalia, Carnivora, Canidae.